This 468-nucleotide ribosomal RNA is filed under the name uncultured bacterium. Its description in RNAcentral is "partial 16S ribosomal RNA". It matches the Rfam family "Bacterial small subunit ribosomal RNA", at positions 28 to 507 of the family's 1533-position model. The record is from RNAcentral.
GACGAACGCUGGCGGCGUGCUUAACACAUGCAAGUCGAACGGAAAGGCCCGGCUUUUGUGGGGUGCUCGAGUGGCGAACGGGUGAGUAACACGUGAGUAACCUGCCCUUGACUUUGGGAUAACUUCAGGAAACUGGGGCUAAUACCGGAUAGGAGCUCCUGCUGCAUGGUGGGGGUUGGAAAGUUUCGGCGGUUGGGGAUGGACUCGCGGCUUAUCAGCUUGUUGGUGGGGUAGUGGCUUACCAAGGCUUUGACGGGUAGCCGGCCUGAGAGGGUGACCGGCCACAUUGGGACUGAGAUACGGCCCAGACUCCUACGGGAGGCAGCAGUGGGGAAUAUUGCACAAUGGGCGGAAGCCUGAUGCAGCAACGCCGCGUGCGGGAUGACGGCCUUCGGGUUGUAAACCGCUGUCGCCUGUGACGAAGCGUGAGUGACGGUAAUGGGUAAAGAAGCACCGGCUAACUACGUG